ACUUGCUUGGUGGAAUGGUAGACACGGCAGACUUAAAAUCUGCUUCGGCCUCUAACGUCGAUUAUCGGUUCAAGUCCGAUAGCAAGUA
Molecule: transfer RNA, 88 nt
Filed under: Diphylleia rotans
Lineage: Eukaryota; Collodictyonidae
Description: tRNA-Leu
Rfam family: tRNA
About the family: Transfer RNA (tRNA) molecules are approximately 80 nucleotides in length.
Source: RNAcentral